RNAcentral lists this ribosomal RNA (484 nucleotides) under uncultured bacterium. RNAcentral describes it as "partial 16S ribosomal RNA". It matches the Rfam family "Bacterial small subunit ribosomal RNA", at positions 28 to 523 of the family's 1533-position model. The record is from RNAcentral.
GACGAACGCUGGCGGCGUGCUUAACACAUGCAAGUCGAACGGAAAGGCCCUGCUUUUGUGGGGUGCUCGAGUGGCGAACGGGUGAGUAACACGUGAGUAACCUGCCCUUGACUUUGGGAUAACUUCAGGAAACUGGGGCUAAUACCGGAUAGGAGCUCCUGCUGCAUGGUGGGGGUUGGAAAGUUUCGGCGGUUGGGGAUGGACUCGCGGCUUAUCAGCUUGUUGGUGGGGUAGUGGCUUACCAAGGCUUUGACGGGUAGCCGGCCUGGGAGGGUGACCGGCCACAUUGGGACUGAGAUACGGCCCAGACUCCUACGGGAGGCAGCAGUGGGGAAUAUUGCACAAUGGGCGGAAGCCUGAUGCAGCAACGCCGCGUGCGGGAUGACGGCCUUCGGGUUGUAAACCGCUUUCGCCUGUGACGAAGCGUGAGUGACGGUAAUGGGUUAAGAAGCACCGGCUAACUACGUGCCAGCCGCCGCAGUAA